RNAcentral lists this long non-coding RNA (3984 nucleotides) under Homo sapiens (human). RNAcentral's name for it is "non-protein coding lnc-ESR2-3:9". Lineage: Eukaryota; Metazoa; Chordata; Mammalia; Primates; Hominidae. The record is from RNAcentral.
GCAGUUCGGAAGGACCCGAGUCCCUUAACUAACCGAGAGCUAACAGGUCGGGGACUGCGGGACGGAAGAGGGAGGGGAAGAUGAAGAAAAUCGGUGAUGAAUGGCUGGCGGAAAUGAUUGGCGGAAAGAAAGAGCCAGUUCACAGUGCGCCUUUGUAUUCGGCGGGAAACCCGGCCGAAGAGGGAGCUGGAAAGGACUCCGGAAUCCGGCCGUAAUUCCAGCCAAUCAGGGAGUAGAGUUGCGGGGCGGGGUUGGGGCGGGGCAGUCUCGCGGGAGAUAGUUUCGCGGGUUCGGGAGGCGAGUCUCCGGUUUCCGCCCAGUCUCUGGGGACGCGGUGGCGGGGUCUGAAUCGCCUGGCUUCCAGGGAGUUUUGGGCGGGUCCCCGCACGGGAGCGUGGCAGGCGCUGGACUCGACAGCAGAUGUGGAACUGGAGAGCUUGGCGCGCCCUCAUACUUUGUCACACACCUACGCCACCAGACUGGGGUCGGGCCCCUCCGCGUUCUGCUCUGGAGGGCCUGGGUCUGGGCCCAGCAUAGCGCUUUUAGAAUCUCCUCAGCUGAAUCUGACGCUCAGCCGUAGGUGAAGCUUAGCCCGCUGUUUCAGGCCCCGCCGAUCUGGAAGGAGUGUCAGAGCUGGAGCGCGCGUGGCCUCAUCGGUGUUGGGGUCACCCCGGGGUUGCCAGGGCUCAUGGAGGGUCGUAGUCUGGAUUUUGUCACCCCCACGUCCCCGCCCCGCAGCAAGUCUGGGGUUGGAGAACUCACGCGGUCUUCGUAAGCUACAUGCCAGUUGACCCUCGAGGAGGGAUGCUCCCUCCCCUUAAGCGUCCACGCUGGAGAAGGAGUAAGAUGGACAAUUGCCUGGGGAGCCUGACAGGGCGGUGGCAGCUGGGAUGCUGGAGAGGACUGGCCCCUUGUGUUACUGAGUCCAAGGAAUAUGCUUGCUCUGCUCUAGGAACCGCGUUCAGGUUACAGUCAUCCCAGUAGAGUCCUGAAGAUGCGUGGUUCAGGUCACUUAGGACUUGACCAGAUACCGGGUUUCUUUUACAAGCCGUUUACUACUGGCAGAGCUCAUCUAAAACUUUUUUUGUUUGUUUGUUUGAGACGGAGUCUCAUUCUGUCGCCCAGGCUGGAGUGCAGUGGCACGAUUUUGGCUCACUGCAACCUCCGCUUCCCGGGUUCAAGCAGUUCUCUGCCUCAGCCUCCCGAGUAGCUGGGAUUACAGGCACCACCUAAUUAGCCCGCCACCACGCCCGGCUAAUUUUUGUAUUUUUAGUAGAGACGGGGUUUCACCAUCUUGGCUAGGCUGGUCUUGAACUCCUGACCUCGUGAUCCACCCGCCUCGGCCUCCCAGAGUGCUGGGAUUACAGGCGUGAGCCACCGCACCUGGCCUAAAACUGAUUUUUUAUUAAUUUUGGGGCUUUUAAUAUUUUUUUCUUAUUUCUAAAUUCUGAGGUUAUUUAUAGUAGCCCCAUAUACGGGAUUAGAUAAUCUCUUGUGAUUUUCUAUUUCUGGUAAUUAUUUCUAAUAUAUGUUUUUUUGUUUUUGAGACGGAGUCUCGCUAUGUCGCUCAGGGUGGAGUGCAGUGGCAUGAUCUCCGCUCUUUGUAGCCUCUGCCUCCCGGGUUCAAAUGAUCCUCCCACCUCAGCCCCCCGAGUAGCUUGGACCACAGGUGCAUGCCACCACGCCGGCUAAUUUUUCUAUUUUUGGUAGAGUUGGGGUUUCACUAUGUUGACCAGACUGGUCUAGAUCUCAAGGGAUUAGUCUCCCUUGGCCUCCCAAAAUGCUGGGAUAAUGGGCAUGAGCCACCGUGCGUGGCCUUAAAGUUACUAUUCUUAAAGUUUGCACAAGUGAUAUGUUAAAGGCACAGACUUAGUAAUAUAAUGUCAUUAUAAUAAUAACCCUAAAACACAUUGUCUCAUAUUGUGUUGUACCUAAACAAGUGAAAUUAAGAAGAAAAUUGAAGGAAAUGUUUCUGGUAAAUUGCAGAUAGUGAAUCUUUUGUCUUAUACUAUCAAAUAGGUAUUGACUAUUCCAGCUUUCUUAUUUGUUGAGGAAGAUGGCAGAAAUCCCGUUUUACAGAGGGAUAGACUUUGAAGGAUAAUACCCAAAGCUGCAUAGCUGUGGCUGGUAUAGGCCCCAAACCUGAUGUUUCUUCUCUAAAUCUACUGCCUUUGCCAUCUCAACAGCCUGGUUUUUGACAGUUAUCUAUGUAUGAGUUGCAUAAAUCGUUCAUUCAUGGAGCAAAUAAUUAUUGAGUGGCCACUAUGCCAACAGCACUGCUAUAGAUGCUAGAGAUACCCUAGUGAACCAGCAAAGUUUCUGCUCUCAGCUCAUAUUCUGGUGGAGGAGACAACGAUCAAGUUAAAGAAAUACAUAGGCUAAUUUUAGAGAUUAUGACAUGCUAUAUUUUAAAAAUAGGCAAGCUAAGAGGAUAGGCAGUGAUGCUGGGAGGUGGGAAAGUUUUGUCUCAGAAAUGUGGUAAGAGAUUUCUUUGGGCAUCUGACUUCAGCAGAAACCUUAAUGAAGAGAGGAACUUGGAAUGUAAAAGAAAGAAAGCAGGGAUUUGCUCUGAGCAACUGGAAAGAUGGAAUUGCCAUUCGCUGAGUUGAAAUAAAGUAAAAUGUAGGACUAGGUUUUGGGGUUAAGAUUAUGAAUUCGGCUUUAGACAUUUUUAGAUUUCUCUUAGACAUCCAAAUGGAGAGAAGAUAUUUAAAUCCAUGGGAUUGAAUGAGAUCCAACCAAGGGUAUUGUAGGUAGAGAGAGGACCAAAGACUGACACCUAGAACCUUUCAGUGUUCAGAAUGCAAGGAGACAGGAGGAACCAAGAGGGAAGAUUGAAAAGGAGAGUCCAGCUGGGAGCUGUGGCUACACCUUUACUAAUCCCAGCACUUUGGGAGACCAAAUACAGGAAGAUCACUUGAAUCCAGGAGUUUGUAGAACAGCCUUAGCAACAUAGCAAGACCCUGUCUCUACAAAAAUAAAAAUUAAAAAAUUUGCCUGUAAUCCGAGCAUUUUGGAGGCCGAGGUGGGUGGAUCAGCUGAGGUCAGGAGUUUGAGACCAACUUGGCCAACACAGUGAAACCCCGUCUCUACUAAAAAUACAAAAAUUAGCUGGGCGUGAUGGCUGGCACCUGUAAUCCCAGCUACUCGGGAGGCCGAGGCAGGAGAAUCCCUUGAACCUAGGAGGCAGAGGUUGCAGUGAGCCGAGAUCACGCCACUGCACUCCAGCCUGGGAGACAGAGCGAGACUCCAUCUCAAAAUAAAUAAAUAAAUAAAAAUUUAAAAAGUUAGCUGGGCGUGGUGGCAUGUACCUGUAGUCCCAGUUACUCAGAAGGCUGAGGUGGGAGGAUCCUGUGAGCCUAGGAGUUGGAAACUUCAGUAAGCUAUAAUCAUCACACUGCACUCCAACCUAGGCAACAGAGCAAGACCCUGUCUCUUAAAAGGAAAGGAGAGUCCAGUGUGUUCUAAGGAAAACCCCAAGAGCAUCCCACCUUAGAAUACAAGUGAGGAGGCCUGGCAUGGUGUCUCAUGCCUGUAAUCCCAGCACUUUGGGAGGCCAAGGUGGGUGGAUCACUUGAGGUCAGGAGUUCUAGACCAGCCUGACAAACAUGGCGAAACCUCCGUCUCUAUAAAAAUACAAAAAUUAGCCAGGUGUGGUAGCGCGUGCCUGUAAUCCCAGCUACUAGGGAGGCUGAGGCAGGAGAACUGCUUGAACUCAGGGGGCAGAGUUUGCAGUGAGCCGAGAUAGUGCCACUGCACUCCAGCCUGAGCAACAGAGUGAGACUCUGUCUCAAAAACAAACAAGUAAACAAACAAAAAAAAAAACAAGACAAGUGAAGAAUGUGUUUCAUGGAAAAAGAGGUAAUUAAUUCUGUCAAGUGUUGCAAAUUGGUCAAAUAAAGAAUGAAAAUCAACCUUUCACAGCAAAUAGAAGGAAAAAAUAUUUUUAUUUAAAUGCUUAUAAAGGCAGUUGCUAGAAAAAAU